GUCCGACGGUACAGGGUGAUAGUCCCGUACACCAAAAUGCACAGGCUGUGAACUCGAAGAGUAGGGCGGGACACGUGGUAUCCUGUCUGAAUAUGGGGGGACCAUCCUCCAAGGCUAAAUACUCCUGACUGACCGAUAGUGAACCAGUACCGUGAGGGAAAGGCGAAAAGAACCCCGGCGAGGGGAGUGAAAAAGAACCUGAAACCGUGUACGUACAAGCAGUGGGAGCACCUUCGGGUGUGACUGCGUACCUUUUGUAUAAUGGGUCAGCGACUUAUAUUCUGUAGCAAGGUUAACCGUAUAGGGGAGCCGCAGGGAAACCGAGUCUUAACUGGGCGUUAAGUUGCAGGGUAUAGACCCGAAACCCGGUGAUCUAGCCAUGGGCAGGUUGAAGGUUGGGUAACACUAACUGGAGGACCGAACCGACUAAUGUUGAAAAAUUAGCGGAUGACUUGUGGCUGGGGGUGAAAGGCCAAUCAAACCGGGAGAUAGCUGGUUCUCCCCGAAAGCU
Molecule: ribosomal RNA, 511 nt
Filed under: Klebsiella pneumoniae
Lineage: Bacteria; Pseudomonadati; Pseudomonadota; Gammaproteobacteria; Enterobacterales; Enterobacteriaceae
Also listed under: 1 other name
Description: partial 23S ribosomal RNA
Rfam family: Bacterial large subunit ribosomal RNA
Source: RNAcentral